UACGGAGGGUGCGAGCGUUGUCCGGAAUCAUUGGGCGUAAAGGGCGCGUAGGUGGCCCGGUCAGUUCGUGGUGAAAGCGCGGGGCUCAACCCUGCGUCGGCCAUGAAUACUGCCGCGGCUGGAGCACUGUAGAGGCAGGCGGAAUUCCUGGUGUAGCGGUGAAAUGCGCAGAUAUCAGGAGGAACACCAGCAGCGAAGGCGGCGCUCUGGGCUGGAACUGACGCUGAGGAGCGAAAGCGUGGGUAGCAAACAGG
Molecule: ribosomal RNA, 254 nt
Filed under: uncultured bacterium
Lineage: Bacteria
Description: partial 16S ribosomal RNA
Rfam family: Bacterial small subunit ribosomal RNA
Source: RNAcentral